GGAGGAUUAGUCCUAAUUGGUAAGGCAGCGGCCUUGAAAGCCGCCGGCCCUUUGGGGCCAUGGGGGUUCGAGUCCCUCAUCCUCCG
Molecule: transfer RNA, 86 nt
Filed under: bacterium
Lineage: Bacteria
Description: tRNA-Ser
Rfam family: tRNA
About the family: Transfer RNA (tRNA) molecules are approximately 80 nucleotides in length. Their secondary structure includes four short double-helical elements and three loops (D, anti-codon, and T loops). Further hydrogen bonds mediate the characteristic L-shaped molecular structure. tRNAs have two regions of fundamental functional importance: the anti-codon, which is responsible for specific mRNA codon recognition, and the 3' end, to which the tRNAs corresponding amino acid is attached (by aminoacyl-tRNA synthetases). tRNAs cope with the degeneracy of the genetic code in two manners: having more than one tRNA (with a specific anti-codon) for a particular amino acid; and 'wobble' base-pairing, i.e. permitting non-standard base-pairing at the 3rd anti-codon position.
Source: RNAcentral